Molecule: ribosomal RNA, 301 nt
Filed under: uncultured bacterium
Lineage: Bacteria
Description: partial 16S ribosomal RNA
Rfam family: Bacterial small subunit ribosomal RNA
Source: RNAcentral
CAGUCGCCGCGGUAAUACGGAGGGUGCAAGCGUUAAUCGGAAUUACUGGGCGUAAAGCGCACGCAGGCGGUCUGUCAAGUCAGAUGUGAAAUCCCCGGGCUUAACCUGGGAACUGCAUUUGAAACUGGCAGGCUGGAGUCUUGUAGAGGGGGGUAGAAUUCCAGGUGUAGCGGUGAAAUGCGUAGAGAUCUGGAGGAAUACCGGUGGCGAAGGCGGCCCCCUGGACAAAGACUGACGCUCAGGUGCGAAAGCGUGGGGAGCAAACAGGAUUAGAUACCCCGGUAGUCCCUGUCUCUUAUAC